GGAUGAACGCUGACAGAAUGCUUAACACAUGCAAGUCAACUUGAAUUUGGGUUUUUAACUUAGGUUUGGGUGGCGGACGGGUGAGUAACGCGUAAAGAACUUGCCUCACAGCUAGGGACAACAUUUGGAAACGAAUGCUAAUACCUAAUAUUAUGAUAAUAGGGCAUCCUAUAAUUAUGAAAGCUAUAAGCGCUGUGAGAGAGCUUUGCAUCCAAUUAGCUAGUUGGAGAGGUAACGGCUCACCAAGGCGAUGAUGGGUAGCCGGCCUGAGAGGGUGAUCGGCCACAAGGGGACUGGGACACGGCCCUUACUCCUACGGGAGGCAGCAGUGGGGAAUAUUGGACAAUGGACCAAGAGUCUGAUCCAGCAAUUCUGUGUGCACGAUGAAGUUUUUCGGAAUGUAAAGUGCUUUCAGUUGGGAAGAAAGAAAUGACGGUACCAACAGAAGAAGUGACGGCUAAAUACGUGCCAGCAGCCGCGGUAAUACGUAUGUCACGAGCGUUAUCCGGAUUUAUUGGGCGUAAAGCGCGUCUAGGUGGUUAUGUAAGUCUGAUGUGAAAAUGCAGGGCUCAACUCUGUAUUGCGUUGGAAACUGUAUAACUAGAGUACUGGAGAGGUAAGCGGAACUACAAGUGUAGAGGUGAAAUUCGUAGAUAUUUGUAGGAAUGCCGAUGGGGAAGCCAGCUUACUGGACAGAUACUGACGCUGAAGCGCGAAAGCGUGGGUAGCAAACAGGAUUAGAUACCCUGGUAGUCCACGCCGUAAACGAUGAUUACUAGGUGUUGGGGGUCGAACCUCAGCGCCCAAGCAAACGCGAUAAGUAAUCCGCCUGGGGAGUACGUACGCA
RNAcentral lists this ribosomal RNA (847 nucleotides) under uncultured Fusobacterium sp. Its description in RNAcentral is "bacterial SSU rRNA". It matches the Rfam family "Bacterial small subunit ribosomal RNA", at positions 27 to 890 of the family's 1533-position model. Lineage: Bacteria; Fusobacteriati; Fusobacteriota; Fusobacteriia; Fusobacteriales; Fusobacteriaceae. The record is from RNAcentral.